Molecule: long non-coding RNA, 3663 nt
Filed under: Homo sapiens (human)
Lineage: Eukaryota; Metazoa; Chordata; Mammalia; Primates; Hominidae
Description: HSALNT0339234
Source: RNAcentral
AGAUACAAAGUGAUGCACCUUUAAUAUAUGUUAUGGUUUUGCAAGCAUAUAUCUCAUUGGGAGAAGGCAUCACAGUGAUAUCUCCUGAGGCAAUCCAGGAACAAAUCUAUUGAGGCUCCUACUUAUCUUGGUUGGUAUUUGACCCAGUGGACCUCAGAUGCAUGGAGAGUCAACAUUUGUCAUGUUUUUGGGCUCUACCUGGACCUGCCAACCCAGUUCCUGUGCGCCCCUCAGAAGAAUUCAGCCUGCAGGAGGACAGCUUUGACCCCUGUGAUUUCAUCUCUGCCCCAACCAAUCAGCAGCAAGCACCCAUUCCCUGGCAGUCCCACCCCUUCCCCCAAACUGCCUUUGAAAAACCCCUACCUAGGAGCCUUAGACAAUAUUGAUUUGAGUACUAACUCCAUCUUCCAUGUGGCAUGGCUGGCCUUAUGUCUAUUAAACUCUUUCUUUACUGCAAUACCCUGGUCUUUAUUUGUGCAGCAGGCAGGAAGAACCCCAUGGGUGGUUACAGCCUGACACUGCCUCUCCCUUUUAUGGUUGCAACAAAACAACCAACCAGCAUUUCUUCCUAAUAAGAAACCACUGACCAAGGAGUGGUUCUGGGUAGUCCAUGGAGGAUGUACAGUAAGGGUUUCUGUGACCUCUGUUUCACCUUUUGACAUUAGAGCACUGAAAAUCCCACCCUUGGAUCAUGCUAAUGCCACCAUUUUUGGUACGUGGGACACGAGGGGGCAUAAAGCUCAAUUGCACAUGCAUACUCUUUGUUUUUUAUAAAUAUUCAUGACUCCUCAUAUAGCUUAUUAAAUAUGUAUAUUUGGCCACCCUGCUCAACACAAAUUAGUUACUGUUCCCUUUCCAUUCCCUAGAAGUGUCUAUUUCUGGCUUCUGGCUGGCAGCUAUGAUUCCCAGCCUGUCAGGAUGGCCACCCUGCAGGCUGCAACCCUUUAUGAGAUGUAAAGCUCUCCUUUCUAAAUUUAUGAACCUUGUCAUUCUUCAGUUGACAACAUCUAAAAAGACUGGCUUGCCAUUCAUCUACUGGUACAGUCUUCUGAAAACAGUUGGUUUCUAAGAACAGUAAGAAACCAGGAACAAGCCUCCAUGGACUUUUUAAGGCCUAAAAUAAUUGCUUCCUCCUCCCCUGCUUCCGUUGCACUUUGGUCACACUGGAAUAACACUAUCUGUUUUGACAUAAUGUGUAUUAUAUAAAGGUCUUGUUCGUUUCUGCAGUGCACUAGGAGAGGACUUAUGUUUUAGAUAGCUGUAUAUUCUCCCUACCUAACACCGUUACUGAUAGACAGUAAAAGCUUAGUUGGUAUCUGUUUAAUGAAGGCCUGAGUGAAGAAACAAUGUGAGUUAAAGGUAAAACAUGUCAAAUUAAAUUUAGGCUAACGCUGCCUCCUUACAUUCAAGUUCAUCCUAAAGGUUUCUUCACACACAGUGAACUAUACCCUCUUUGGAUGUGUAAAAAGACUGUAACCUACUCUUGUGCAAUCACUGAGUUUCAAAUGUGGCCAAUUGUUCAAAUCAUGUUCAAAUAUGACAAAUGUAAAGGAAAGUUUUUAAAAAAAUCUCAGGAUCUCAUACUCCCUAUGCAAAAGGGAAGCGUAAGCUUGGAGGCCGUCUUGCAACAUUCUCUUCCAAAUGAAUAGCUAUUGCUAGCAUUGUGCCAGAUUCCCAAGGAAAGAUAAACGGCCUCGGGCAUCAUGAAUAACUUGCUCCCAUAGAAGAUUCAUAGGUAAAUUCUUUCAUGGCCUCCCACAAACAAGGACAUACCAAUUAUACCAAUUGUAACUUUAGGUCUACAGCCUAAGUCUAACUCCCAAAACUAAAGUCUGAUUCCACACUGAUGCUAUCAAUCACAAGCUUAUUUUCCCAGGUUCAGAACAAAAACAAGAGGAGAUCAGUCAUUCUUCCACCUACCGAGAGAUGCCUGCAUAAUUGAUUUUUCCUCUAUUACCUUUUUCUCUUCGAACAUUCACCUUACCUUAUGUAAAAUGUAGAUUACGGGGUACUAACUAAAGUCUCACAGGAAUAUAACUAUUUGCCUUAAUGCCUGUCUCUCUUCCUAAGUGCCUUCCCCCAUUUAAGGGAAAGUAUAAACAUAAAACCUCCUGAACACCUCUUCAGAAAACCUCCUUGCUUUUUCCCAGAUGUGUCCUAAAGCUGGCUUAUUAAACUUCGAUUGAUUGGGACUUUUGCCUUAGUUACUCAUUUUGUUUGUCACAAAAGUCAAGGUGUAACCAAUCUAGCUGUUUCUGAACCUCACUUCUGUACAUCAUUUUCUGUAUGACACUUAUCUUCUCCUGCCCAAAAAUCUUUUCCAACCACGUGGCAGUGCUGGAGUCUCUCUGAACCUGUUCUGGUUUGCGAGGCUGCCCGAUUCUUGAAUGGUUCUUUGAUCAAUUAAACUGUUAAAUUUAAUUUUUCUGAGGUUUUUCUUUAAAGAAAUAUAAAGCCCAGGAAGCACAGUUUAUUCACCUCAUUGAAUUUUAUUCCUAUCCAAACAUUCCUAUUGGCAAACUCUCAGAAACACAAAAGAUGCUUCACCAACUCUCUUUUAUAAAUAAUAGAGCCUCAAUAAUUCUUCUAAGAUGAUUAUCCUUGAUCAUUUAAUAUAGAAACCUACUGGACAAAGUUCCAGUUUAGUGGUUCCUUUUAUUAAAAUCCCUAUUAAUAAGUUUAAGAAGGGGCCUGGGUUCAAUAUUUCCUAUUUUUAUAAAAAUGGAAUCUCUUCAUAAUAUGAUAUCUGACAAAAAAUCUCACUGUUAUAAACACAGACAGUGUAGCAUAUAGCCCAAUUAUUUGAUGUAACUUCAAAUCUGAUCCUUUGAAAUUAGAACAGAAAAUCAAUUGUAUAUCCUUGUGAAACAGCUGAUUCUUUAUUACAGUGUAACUUGCAUUCCAAUCAACUGCCAUCUUUGUUUUAUUCCUGCUGUAUCAGUUGUCUGCUAAUCAGUAUGUUUAACACUGAAAUGGAAUAUCAAUUUCUCCUUGGAAAAUAUGCACCAUAAAAUCCUCUUUGAAAUGGUUUUAUAUUGUAUUUCAACAAAAUAAUUCCAUAUUAGUUAUUUUUCUCAUGCUUUUGAUGCUGUUUUUGAAAUGCACAGUUUUACAAAGGUGCCCAUGGGUAAGCCAAAUGUCUUACAUAAGCAGCCAGUUCUGUUUCAAAUGACUCUCUUCCCAGAGUCUCGUGGAUGAGCCCCUACUGGCUGUUGAAAUAUAGAAGCUUUGUGUGAUUUGAAACUCUCAGCUGGCUUUCCAGGCCCAAAGAGACACAGAGUCAGUGUGUAAAGAGAGAUUCAUUGGUGCACAGCUUUCUUCUUCUACUUAGUUUCUUACCCAGUAUCUUUUGCUUUUUAAUGUUAAUACCCCUGCUGCUGUAUUCCCACUGUGUGAGAGAUUAUUCCUACCAUUUAAAUAAAAGGUACUGGGCAAAAAGCAAUGGAUGAGAAUAACCUGACACCAUUAAAGUACCUUUACUUCAUUCAUUUUCCCUUUUACCUGGAGGGAAUCAUUAUCACCACUGCAGUUUUUAACAUGCUGUGUAUUUAUAAGGCAAACUGAAGGCCUUUUGUGCUGGAUUAGGAUGAUGGGUUAGUAAAGCUUGCAAGAGGUGGAGCUGUUCUAGUGUGAGAGGAAACAUUACAGACUUUAAAUAGCACA